Molecule: RNA transcript, 737 nt
Organism: Glycine soja
Lineage: Eukaryota; Viridiplantae; Streptophyta; Magnoliopsida; Fabales; Fabaceae
Gene name: probable glutathione S-transferase
Exons: 2
Source: RefSeq, a predicted model, not a curated record
AUGGCACAUGUGAAGUUACAUGAAUUUUGGUAUAGUCCCUUCACUUUGAGGGUAAAAUGGACCUUAAAGCUGAAGGGUAUAUCCUAUGAGAAUAUAGAGGAAGAUCGAUUCAAUAUGAGUCCUCAACUUCUCCAAUACAAUCCCAUUUACAAGAGGACUCCAGUGCUUGUUCAUGCUGGAAAACCCACAUGCUGAAAAUUUCAGUAUAAUGAGGUUGUCGGUCUUCAGAGAAAUCAAAUAUUUCGUCACCAAGGCAAAAUUCAAAUUUCCUAUUUUUAUCAAAGUGAUAAUAAUAUUUGGGGUCAACUUUUGAAGUUUCCUGCAGUUUCUGCAUUCUUCAGUAGCAAUAAUGAUGAAGAACGAGAAAAGAGUAUAGAGAAGAUAUGGGAGCAUCCAAGGGUUGUUGAGAAUCAGUGUUUUGGUGAUCAGAAGAAAUUUUUUGGGGGAGACAUUAUUAACAUUGUGGAGAUAGCUUUUGGGUCCAUAUUCAAAUUUCUUGUUGCAGAAGAUAUUCUUGAAGCGAAGGUCCUGGAAGAUGAGAAAUUCCCUCACUUGCACUCAUGGUAUAAUAAUUUCAAGGAUGUUUCAGUUAUUAAAGAAAACCUCCCAGACCAUGAGAAAAUGGUGGCUUUUAUUAAGUUUAUUAGAGAAAAACGUUUGGCAUCUUCCUAAGAAAGUAAUCUAUAUAAGAUCAAGUAUGAAUGAAUCACUUUGUAUCUGUCUGAAUCGCUUUUUUA